RNAcentral lists this unclassified non-coding RNA (352 nucleotides) under uncultured Sporobolomyces. Its description in RNAcentral is "sequence contains ITS1". The stretch from base 1 to 105 matches the Rfam family "5.8S ribosomal RNA", at positions 50 to 154 of the family's 154-position model. Lineage: Eukaryota; Fungi; Basidiomycota. The record is from RNAcentral.
GAAAUGCGAUACGUAAUGUGAAUUGCAGAAUUCAGUGAAUCAUCGAAUCUUUGAACGCAUCUUGCGCUCUCUGGUAUUCCGGAGAGCAUGUCUGUUUGAGUGUCAUGAAUUCUUCAACCCAAUCUUUUCUUGUAAUCGAUUGGUGUUUGGAUUCUGAGCGUUGCUGGCGUUUGCCUAGCUCGUUCGUAAUACAUUAGCAUCCCUAAUACAAGUUUGGAUUGACUUGGCGUAAUAGACUAUUCGCUAAGGAUUCGGUGGAAACAUCGAGCCAACUUCAUUAAGGAAGCUCCUAAUUUAAAAGUCUACCUUUUGAUUAGAUCUCAAAUCAGGCAGGAUUACCCGCUGAACUUAA